UUAUAUUUUUUUGCAUGUAUUCUUUUAGAUCAACAGUUUUUUACAGAAUAAACGUUUUUUUGUGAUUAUUGAUUUGGUCGUUUGAGUAGAUGUGUGAUAAUAGUUGGUAUGGUCCGUGUAUGAGCUAAUUCGGUAUGGUCUGUGUGAGUAUGUCCCGUGAUUUUCCAGCGAAGCCUAUCUAUAUUGGGUAUAUUAUUGCCACAGGUUAGUUGGAGAAGUCAUCCUUAGAAGAAGUAACCCCAUGAAGAAGUGAAGAGGGAAACCGUGGCGAGGCCCCUCCACUUAUUAAUGAAGAAGUAGACCCCUUGUUUUUUCAAGCAGCCAGGAGAAAAGCUAUCACUUUUUGAUUUGAAGAUAGCGUACUCUGUCGACACUGUUUUGAAAAUAACCCUUGAUAUAUGGAUUUGUUCAUGUUAGAAGUGAAAAAAAAGUUACCCCAUGAAAAAGUGAAGAGGGAAACCGUGGCGAGGCCCCUCCACUUAUUGAUUAAAAAUGAUGUAUGUUUUCUUGUAUCUGGCAUAUCACAAGUGUAAUACUCGUGAUGAGGAAGUGUUGUUCAGUUGUCUGAGAAUACUCCCAUUAAUAGUCGGAGCAAGAACGGUUUUAUUUGUGUAAGCUCAUAUAGGAACCAAGUUUCAAUAUUUGUUUGUGUUUGUAAGCCCAUGUAUAUGGAGUAUGACUAAGAACCAAGUUUCAAUAUUUAUUUGUGUUUGUAAGCCCAUGUAUAUGGAGUAUGACUAGAAGUCUUAAGUUUUUUGUUCCCUGUUUGUUUGUCUAUCCCUGUUCUGUCUGGAAAUUAUAGAGUCUGUUAUCCCGUAAUGUCUGUUAGCCCAUGUCCCUGAUGGAGUUUGAUUUUUUUUGGCGAAUAGUUCGUUGACCUCUCUUGUGUUUGUUCAUUGAAAGUAGGCCAAGAGCAGAAGCUGUGACAAGGCUGGUGAGCUUAGGAUCUGGCCGCGUUGAGUACAGGUGAAGCUUGCUUUCGGUGGAUAAAUGGAAGUGGUCGUUCGUCGGAAUUGUCAUUCUUUCCAAUGUCCCUUUGGUCUUUCCCUUGUGUGUUUGCUUUCAUCCCUGUUUUGAAAAAGUAGUCUAACCCCAGUUUGGAA
Molecule: long non-coding RNA, 1103 nt
Organism: Diabrotica virgifera virgifera (western corn rootworm)
Lineage: Eukaryota; Metazoa; Arthropoda; Insecta; Coleoptera; Chrysomelidae
Exons: 2
Source: RefSeq, a predicted model, not a curated record